CAGUAGCCACGGGAAUACGAAGGGUGCAAGCGUUAAUCGGAAUUACUGGGCGUAAAGCGCGCGUAGGUGGUUUGGUAAGAUGGAUGUGAAAUCCCCGGGCUCAACCUGGGAACUGCAUCCAUAACUGCCUGACUAGAGUACGGUAGAGGGUGGUGGAAUUUCCUGUGUAGCGGUGAAAUGCGUAGAUAUAGGAAGGAACACCAGUGGCGAAGGCGACCACCUGGACUGAUACUGACACUGAGGUGCGAAAGCGUGGGGAGCAAACAGGAUUAGAUACCCGAGUAGUCCCUGUCUCUUAUAC
RNAcentral lists this ribosomal RNA (301 nucleotides) under uncultured bacterium. Its description in RNAcentral is "partial 16S ribosomal RNA". It matches the Rfam family "Bacterial small subunit ribosomal RNA", at positions 509 to 807 of the family's 1533-position model. The record is from RNAcentral.